UUUAAUCUUGUUAAGCUAAUUGUGGCUAGCAUGAAUUUGUUGCAGUCUGUGGUUAUUUAAAGAGGACUCUCAUUCUGUUCUGGAGUUGGGGUAGUGGUGUUUUCGUCAUCAUUGGAUGGAGAGAACGAAUUGUCUUAUGGUAUCGCUCCAUCACUCCUCCGAGGCUCUCAAUUUCCUCCGUUGGCCUUUCUGCUACACUAAAUGGAUUUUGAGAGAACAUCCUGUCCCUGAGAAGUUUAAGAAUGUUGGAGUGGAGAUAAGUCAACCCAGAUGUGGCACCUUAAAGUGACAAUUAGUGGAAGGGUUCUUUUGAAGACUCUAACCUGGAGUACAUGCUGACUUUGGCUCUUUGCGGGAAUGGGACUCGCUCUCAGGGUUCUAUAACUGACCAUUGUUCGGUAUGCCAAGAGUUCAGCCCGAGAUUCCGGCUCAAAUUAAAAAGUCUAAGAUCUCAGGACUCUGGAGACAGGUGGAUCGAGGGACAGUGUCACGGCAGGAGACCCGUGAGUCGUCAGGGUUGUCAGGAUAUUUGCUGUGGGCCCGAAGACCCGAGAGCUUUGUGAUCUUUGGGCACAGAGCUCGGAUAAAGCGACAUGAUGAAUCUUUAACAUCAUAAACCAGUGAGUUGUUUGUUAUGUCUCCCUGCUUGCUGGUGAAAAAUGGAGACACCUCCUUCUCCCUUAUUAGGGAGUGAGAGAGAACCUACGGUAUGUCAAAUGCUUGGUGCAAUGCAAAUUCUUUGGGGUAACUACAAGUCUAUGUCUUUGCAAUUGCUUUGUUCACACUGAGUGCUCAGUGAUGGUACCAGUGCUUGUUUUUUUUUGCCAAUGGAGGGAGGAGGAAUUGCUGCUCGCAGCUACUUACCCGUGGGAGGCAGGGGAACUGGGCGGGACUUUGGGGUUCUAACAUUAUCUGUCAUUUAUUCUUUGGGGCACUUCUCUGUUUUUGUGGAUGUUUGCGAAGAAAAAAACAUUUCAGGAUGUAUAUUGUAUACAUUUCUCUGACAUUAAAUUGGACCUUUGAACCUUUGAAGAUAGCGUCCAGCUAUUUAUAGGAAGGAGAGAGAAAGAUAUUUCCUUGUGAAUUCCUAUGAAUGUACUAAGUGGAAUAAUUGCACACUAUUGGUUAAUAAA
This is a long non-coding RNA of Hypanus sabinus (Atlantic stingray), 1133 nucleotides long. RefSeq lists it as uncharacterized. The record is from RefSeq and is a predicted model, not a curated record. NCBI's taxonomy places the organism in Eukaryota, Metazoa, Chordata, Chondrichthyes, Myliobatiformes, Dasyatidae. The transcript has 3 exons.